AACGAACGCUGGCGGCAGGCCUCAAACAUGCAAGUCUAGGGGGUGCAGCAAUGCAUCACCGGCGGACGGGUGCGUAACGCGUGGGAAUAUACCUUUGGUUCGGAACAACUGCGGGAAACUGCAGCUAAUACCGAAUGUGCCCUAACGGGGAAAGAUUUAUCGCCAAAGGAUUAGCCCGCGUAGGAUUAGCUAGUUGGUGAGGUAAUGGCUCACCAAGGCUCCGAUCCUUAGCNGUUCUGAGAGGAAGAUCAGCCACACUGGGACUGAGACACGGCCCAGACUCCUACGGGAGGCAGCAGUUGGGAAUCUUGGACAAUGGGGAAACCCUGAUCCAGCCAUGCCGCGUGAGUGAUGAAGGCC
Molecule: ribosomal RNA, 360 nt
Filed under: uncultured bacterium
Lineage: Bacteria
Description: bacterial SSU rRNA
Rfam family: Bacterial small subunit ribosomal RNA
Source: RNAcentral